UACGGGGGGAGCAAGCGUUGUUCGGAUUUACUGGGCGUAAAGGGCGCGUAGGCGGCGUGACAAGUCACUUGUGAAACCUCCGGGCUUAACCCGGAGCGGCCAAGUGAUACUGUCGUGCUAGAGUGCGGAAGGGGCUACUGGAAUUCUCGGUGUAGCGGUGAAAUGCGUAGAUAUCGAGAGGAACACCUGCGGCGAAGGCGGGUCUCUGGGCCGAUACUGACGCUGAGGAGCGAAAGCGUGGGGAGCGAACAGG
Molecule: ribosomal RNA, 253 nt
Filed under: uncultured bacterium
Lineage: Bacteria
Description: partial 16S ribosomal RNA
Rfam family: Bacterial small subunit ribosomal RNA
Source: RNAcentral